Molecule: unclassified non-coding RNA, 387 nt
Filed under: soil metagenome
Description: partial contains 5.8S ribosomal RNA, internal transcribed spacer 2, and large subunit ribosomal RNA
Rfam family: 5.8S ribosomal RNA (bases 1-120)
Source: RNAcentral
GAUGAAGAACGUAGCGAAAUGCGAUAAGUAAUGUGAAUUGCAGAAUUCAGUGAAUCAUCGAAUCUUUGAACGCACCUUGCGCUCCUUGGUAUUCCGAGGAGCAUGCCUGUUUGAGUGUCAUGAAAUUCUCAACCUUUUCAGCUUUCUUUGUUGAUCAGGCUUGGAUGUGGGAGUAUGCGGGCUUCUCAGAAGUCGGCUCUCCUGAAAUGCAUUAGCGGGACCUUUGUUGCCUGGCUUUGGUGUGAUAAUUAUCUACGCCAUUGUAGUCAAGCAGCUUAAAAUGAGGUUUCAGCUUCUAACCGUCUCCCCUGAGGCAACUUUUUGACAAUUUGACCUCAAAUCAGGUAGGACUACCCGCUGAACUUAAGCAUAUCAAUAAGCGGAGGA